GGGGAUUUAGCUCAGUGGCAUAAGCACCUGCCUUGCAAGUAGAUGGUCAUGAGUUCAAUCCCCA
Molecule: transfer RNA, 64 nt
Filed under: Cavia porcellus (domestic guinea pig)
Lineage: Eukaryota; Metazoa; Chordata; Mammalia; Rodentia; Caviidae
Rfam family: tRNA
About the family: Transfer RNA (tRNA) molecules are approximately 80 nucleotides in length. Their secondary structure includes four short double-helical elements and three loops (D, anti-codon, and T loops). Further hydrogen bonds mediate the characteristic L-shaped molecular structure. tRNAs have two regions of fundamental functional importance: the anti-codon, which is responsible for specific mRNA codon recognition, and the 3' end, to which the tRNAs corresponding amino acid is attached (by aminoacyl-tRNA synthetases). tRNAs cope with the degeneracy of the genetic code in two manners: having more than one tRNA (with a specific anti-codon) for a particular amino acid; and 'wobble' base-pairing, i.e. permitting non-standard base-pairing at the 3rd anti-codon position.
Source: Rfam by way of RNAcentral